AGCGUACACGGUGGAUGCCCUGGCAGUCAGAGGCGAUGAAGGACGUGCUAAUCUGCGAUAAGCGUCGGUAAGGUGAUAUGAACCGUUAUAACCGGCGAUUUCCGAAUGGGGAAACCCAGUGUGAUUCGUCACACUAUCAUUAACUGAAUCCAUAGGUUAAUGAGGCGAACCGGGGGAACUGAAACAUCUAAGUACCCCGAGGAAAAGAAAUCAACCGAGAUUCCCCCAGUAGCGGCGAGCGAACGGGGAGCAGCCCAGAGCCUGAAUCAGUGUGUGUGUUAGUGGAAGCGUCUGGAAAGGCGCGCGAUACAGGGUGACAGCCCCGUACACAAAAAUGCACAUACUGUGAGCUCGAUGAGUAGGGCGGGACACGUGGUAUCCUGUCUGAAUAUGGGGGGACCAUCCUCCAAGGCUAAAUACUCCUGACUGACCGAUAGUGAACCAGUACCGUGAGGGAAAGGCGAAAAGAACCCCGGCGAGGGGAGUGAAAAAGAACCUGAAACCGUGUACGUACAAGCAGUGGGAGCCUCUUUUAUGGGGUGACUGCGUACCUUUUGUAUAAUGGGUCAGCGACUUAUAUUCUGUAGCAAGGUUAACCGAAUAGGGGAGCCGAAGGGAAACCGAGUCUUAACCGGGCGUUAAGUUGCAGGGUAUAGACCCGAAACCCGGUGAUCUAGCCAUGGGCAGGUUGAAGGUUGGGUAACACUAACUGGAGGACCGAACCGACUAAUGUUGAAAAAUUAGCGGAUGACUUGUGGCUGGGGGUGAAAGGCCAAUCAAACCGGGAGAUAGCUGGUUCUCCCCGAAAGCUAUUUAGGUAGCGCCUCGUGAAUUCAUCUCCGGGGGUAGAGCACUGUUUCGGCAAGGGGGUCAUCCCGACUUACCAACCCGAUGCAAACUGCGAAUACCGGAGAAUGUUAUCACGGGAGACACACGGCGGGUGCUAACGUCCGUCGUGAAGAGGGAAACAACCCAGACCGCCAGCUAAGGUCCCAAAGUCAUGGUUAAGUGGGAAACGAUGUGGGAAGGCCCAGACAGCCAGGAUGUUGGCUUAGAAGCAGCCAUCAUUUAAAGAAAGCGUAAUAGCUCACUGGUCGAGUCGGCCUGCGCGGAAGAUGUAACGGGGCUAAACCAUGCACCGAAGCUGCGGCAGCGACACUGUGUGUUGUUGGGUAGGGGAGCGUUCUGUAAGCCUGUGAAGGUGUACUGUGAGGUAUGCUGGAGGUAUCAGAAGUGCGAAUGCUGACAUAAGUAACGAUAAAGCGGGUGAAAAGCCCGCUCGCCGGAAGACCAAGGGUUCCUGUCCAACGUUAAUCGGGGCAGGGUGAGUCGACCCCUAAGGCGAGGCCGAAAGGCGUAGUCGAUGGGAAACAGGUUAAUAUUCCUGUACUUGGUGUUACUGCGAAGGGGGGACGGAGAAGGCUAUGUUGGCCGGGCGACGGUUGUCCCGGUUUAAGCGUGUAGGCUGGUUUUCCAGGCAAAUCCGGAAAAUCAAGGCUGAGGCGUGAUGACGAGGCACUACGGUGCUGAAGCAACAAAUGCCCUGCUUCCAGGAAAAGCCUCUAAGCAUCAGGUAACAUCAAAUCGUACCCCAAACCGACACAGGUGGUCAGGUAGAGAAUACCAAGGCGCUUGAGAGAACUCGGGUGAAGGAACUAGGCAAAAUGGUGCCGUAACUUCGGGAGAAGGCACGCUGAUAUGUAGGUGAAGUCCCUCGCGGAUGGAGCUGAAAUCAGUCGAAGAUACCAGCUGGCUGCAACUGUUUAUUAAAAACACAGCACUGUGCAAACACGAAAGUGGACGUAUACGGUGUGACGCCUGCCCGGUGCCGGAAGGUUAAUUGAUGGGGUCAGCGCAAGCGAAGCUCUUGAUCGAAGCCCCGGUAAACGGCGGCCGUAACUAUAACGGUCCUAAGGUAGCGAAAUUCCUUGUCGGGUAAGUUCCGACCUGCACGAAUGGCGUAAUGAUGGCCAGGCUGUCUCCACCCGAGACUCAGUGAAAUUGAACUCGCUGUGAAGAUGCAGUGUACCCGCGGCAAGACGGAAAGACCCCGUGAACCUUUACUAUAGCUUGACACUGAACAUUGAGCCUUGAUGUGUAGGAUAGGUGGGAGGCUUUGAAGUGUGGACGCCAGUCUGCAUGGAGCCGACCUUGAAAUACCACCCUUUAAUGUUUGAUGUUCUAACGUGGACCCGUGAUCCGGGUUGCGGACAGUGUCUGGUGGGUAGUUUGACUGGGGCGGUCUCCUCCUAAAGAGUAACGGAGGAGCACGAAGGUUGGCUAAUCCUGGUCGGACAUCAGGAGGUUAGUGCAAUGGCAUAAGCCAGCUUGACUGCGAGCGUGACGGCGCGAGCAGGUGCGAAAGCAGGUCAUAGUGAUCCGGUGGUUCUGAAUGGAAGGGCCAUCGCUCAACGGAUAAAAGGUACUCCGGGGAUAACAGGCUGAUACCGCCCAAGAGUUCAUAUCGACGGCGGUGUUUGGCACCUCGAUGUCGGCUCAUCACAUCCUGGGGCUGAAGUAGGUCCCAAGGGUAUGGCUGUUCGCCAUUUAAAGUGGUACGCGAGCUGGGUUUAGAACGUCGUGAGACAGUUCGGUCCCUAUCUGCCGUGGGCGCUGGAGAACUGAGGGGGGCUGCUCCUAGUACGAGAGGACCGGAGUGGACGCAUCACUGGUGUUCGGGUUGUCAUGCCAAUGGCACUGCCCGGUAGCUAAAUGCGGAAGAGAUAAGUGCUGAAAGCAUCUAAGCACGAAACUUGCCCCGAGAUGAGUUCU
This 2772-nucleotide ribosomal RNA is filed under the name Escherichia coli. Its description in RNAcentral is "bacterial LSU rRNA". It matches the Rfam family "Bacterial large subunit ribosomal RNA". The record is from RNAcentral. Lineage: Bacteria; Pseudomonadati; Pseudomonadota; Gammaproteobacteria; Enterobacterales; Enterobacteriaceae.